RNAcentral lists this ribosomal RNA (442 nucleotides) under Pseudomonas putida. RNAcentral describes it as "bacterial SSU rRNA". It matches the Rfam family "Bacterial small subunit ribosomal RNA", at positions 1014 to 1453 of the family's 1533-position model. Lineage: Bacteria; Pseudomonadati; Pseudomonadota; Gammaproteobacteria; Pseudomonadales; Pseudomonadaceae. The record is from RNAcentral.
UGCCUUCAGGAACUCUGACACAGGUGCUGCAUGGAUGUCGUCAGCUUGUGUCGUGAGAUGUUGGGUUAAGUCCCGUAACGAGCGCAACCCUUGUCCUUAGUUACCAGCACGUAAUGGUGGGCACUCUAAGGAGACUGCCGGUGACAAACCGGAGGAAGGUGGGGAUGACGUCAAGUCAUCAUGGCCCUUACGGCCUGGGCUACACACGUGCUACAAUGGUCGGUACAGAGGGUUGCCAAGCCGCGAGGUGGAGCUAAUCUCACAAAACCGAUCGUAGUCCGGAUCGCAGUCUGCAACUCGACUGCGUGAAGUCGGAAUCGCUAGUAAUCGCGAAUCAGAAUGUCGCGGUGAAUACGUUCCCGGGCCUUGUACACACCGCCCGUCACACCAUGGGAGUGGGUUGCACCCAGAAGUAGCUAGUCUAACCUUUCUGGGAGGAAGA